This 37-nucleotide non-coding RNA is filed under the name Candidatus Defluviicoccus seviourii. The record is from RNAcentral. Lineage: Bacteria; Pseudomonadati; Pseudomonadota; Alphaproteobacteria; Rhodospirillales; Rhodospirillaceae. RNAcentral also lists the same sequence under 1 other name.
CCCUCCCGCGGCAGUAAUGCCGCGGCCUCAUUGAAGC